Long non-coding RNA from Oxyura jamaicensis (ruddy duck), 249 nucleotides. RefSeq lists it as uncharacterized. Lineage: Eukaryota; Metazoa; Chordata; Aves; Anseriformes; Anatidae. The transcript is spliced from 2 exons. The record is from RefSeq and is a predicted model, not a curated record.
UGGUUUUGGGGGUGAAGGUACCUAUGAGGCUUGUUGUGUCUUACAGAAAUGUUUAAGUAGUUAUGUGACUUCAAACAACUGUCUUCCACUACUCUUCUAGAAAAAAAAAAAAAAAGACCAAAAACAACUGAACAGGUUACUGUUAAUCUUUCUGCUAAAGUGCUACAACAAAGCUGUAUGCUAUCUUAAUCUCCCUUGAGCUUCAAAUAUCAUCCCUAUAAAGAUAUUUCAGUGGGGAUUGUUUACUCU